Molecule: non-coding RNA, 804 nt
Organism: Coffea arabica (coffee)
Lineage: Eukaryota; Viridiplantae; Streptophyta; Magnoliopsida; Gentianales; Rubiaceae
Source: RefSeq, a predicted model, not a curated record
CUGCAGCCAUACAAAGUGAGAAAAAGUGAGAGAAGGAGGUGUAAAGGAAAAGAUGGCCAAAACUUCAGUGGAGGAGAGGUGAAAUUUGGCGAAACUUUCUUUCAUGGUCGCAUUAUUUGGAUGCUGAACUUUAGGAAAAGUGUCUGAAAUUUAGGCCCAACGCUUCGAAGAGAAGAGAAAAGUUCAGAAACACUAAGAAUUUGAUCUAUACUCGUUACAAUGACGAGCAAGGAUAUUGGUUGGGAACAUGAUACACCUGUGGGUGGGAAUAGAAAAUUUGUGAGAUGCAAUUAUUGUGAAAAAAUAAUGCAUUGUGACAUUACAAGAUUGAAAGAGCAUGUCGGUCAUGUCAGAGGACAGUUGAAGCAUGUCCAAGGGCACCAUGAGAAUAGGUGUAAUAAAAAUGCAUCUAAAGGCUGCUAAGGCUCAAAGAGUUGCAAUAAAAAAGAAAAAAAGAAGAAAUAUUGAACUCUCUGCAACAAGAAAAUAUAUAUAGUAAUGUCAACAUAGUUAGCGACGAUGAUGACAAAGAUGUCCUUGAAAUUGAUGAAGAAAGUAGGAUGGUGUUGGGAAAAAAAAAAAACAGAUGAAUCAAGCAAUUAGAGAGAGCCAAUACUUGCAAUUUGUCGAAGAACAACGAAGGCAUUCCACAUCUGGUUUACCAUUCAUCUGGAAAUGAGAGUGAUUUUAAACCAUAUCGUCCUUCUAUCUUGAUAUUAACAGGCAACUCCUCGUUCACAAGCAAGCCUUCUGCUUCAAAAACAGCUCAAAGAUCUUUGCAGGAAUCCGAUAGAAGGAUUCUCA